AUAUUUUGUUUUUCAACUCUAACUUAUUCUCUGAUCCAAUGAUGUAAAAUAAUUUGAACAUAAAUUGACCAAAAUGGCACUCUUAGUCUAAAUCACAGCUUUGAAGGUGAGAUUAUCUUUUGUUACAAAGUAAGUUAAACAUCAUGACUUGCCCUUGUUGCACUACCGAUUUCUCCGAGUUUCUCCAUAACUCGCUGGUGAGUCGAGAAGUUAUGGACGUAUAGUCUUUCGGAGGAAAGAGGACAAAGUCUGAAAAGGAUUAAAAAUUUCAUAUUGAAUUUAAAAUUGAACCACCAAAUAAGAAGAUCAAGCUAAACAACGACUGUGUUAAUGUUGAAAACUAAGAAAUUAGAGUUAGUAUAAUAAAUGAAUAACUCUAUGUUUAAGUUUCUUUUGGUCUCUAUGUUUAAGUUUAUUUUGUAAUAUUUCGUAUGCAAAAUCUUUGAAAACC
This 451-nucleotide small RNA is filed under the name Arabidopsis thaliana (thale cress). Its description in RNAcentral is "ATSL004410". The record is from RNAcentral. Lineage: Eukaryota; Viridiplantae; Streptophyta; Magnoliopsida; Brassicales; Brassicaceae.